UCGGGAAUUUUGGGCAAUGGGCGCAAGCCUGAUCCAGCCAUGCCGCGUGCGGGAAGAAGGCCUUCGGGUUGUAAACCGCUUUUGUCAGGGAAGAAACGCUCUGGGCUAAUACCCUGGGGUAAUGACGGUACCUGAAGAAUAAGCACCGGCUAACUACGUGCCAGCAGCCGCGGUAAUACGUAGGGUGCAAGCGUUAAUCGGAAUUACUGGGCGUAAAGCGUGCGCAGGCGGUUAUGCAAGACAGAUGUGAAAUCCCCGGGCUCAACCUGGGAACUGCAUUUGUGACUGUAUAGCUAGAGUACGGUAGAGGGGGAUGGAAUUCCGCGUGUAGCAGUGAAAUGCGUAGAUAUGCGGAGGAACACCGAUGGCGAAGGCAAUCCCCUGGACCUGUACUGACGCUCAUGCACGAAAGCGUGGGGAGCAAACAGGAUUAGAUACCCCCGUAGUCCCUGAGCGGGCUGGCAAGGCGCAU
Molecule: ribosomal RNA, 472 nt
Filed under: uncultured bacterium
Lineage: Bacteria
Description: bacterial SSU rRNA
Rfam family: Bacterial small subunit ribosomal RNA
Source: RNAcentral